AACGAACGCUGGCGGCAGGCCUAACACAUGCAAGUCGAGCGAACCCUUCGGGGUUAGCGGCGGACGGGUUAGUAACGCGUGGGAAUAUACCCUUUGGUACGGAAUAGCCUCGGGAAACUGAGAGUAAUACCGUAUGUGCCCUUCGGGGGAAAGAUUUAUCGCCAAAGGAUUAGCCCGCGUUGGAUUAGAUAGUUGGUGGGGUAAUGGCCUACCAAGUCUACGAUCCAUAGCUGGUUUGAGAGGAUGAUCAGCAACACUGGGACUGAGACACGGCCCAGACUCCUACGGGAGGCAGCAGUGGGGAAUCUUAGACAAUGGGCGCAAGCCUGAUCUAGCCAUGCCGCGUGGACGAUGAAGGCCUUAGGGUUGUAAAGUCCUUUCAGAUGGGAAGAUAAUGACGGUACCAUCAGAAGAAGCCCCGG
Molecule: ribosomal RNA, 422 nt
Filed under: uncultured bacterium
Lineage: Bacteria
Description: bacterial SSU rRNA
Rfam family: Bacterial small subunit ribosomal RNA
Source: RNAcentral